RNAcentral lists this long non-coding RNA (233 nucleotides) under Capsicum annuum. Its description in RNAcentral is "long non-coding RNA (CANN_LNC013244)". The record is from RNAcentral. Lineage: Eukaryota; Viridiplantae; Streptophyta; Magnoliopsida; Solanales; Solanaceae.
AAAUGUUUGAGCACCUUAUUAAAUGUAUACUUCUUCCGUUAGCUUCUACUUGUCACAUGUCACUUUUCGUGAAUCCGUUUGAUUAUUCUUAGAAGCUAAAUCGAAUUAAAUUAGUUCAACAACAACAACAAACCCAGUGUAUUCCCACCAAGUGCGGGUCUGGGGAGGAUAAAAUCUACGCAGUCCAUACCGCUACCUCCGAAGAAGUAGAGAGGCUGUUUCCGAUAGACCCC